Molecule: ribosomal RNA, 200 nt
Filed under: uncultured bacterium
Lineage: Bacteria
Description: partial 16S ribosomal RNA
Rfam family: Bacterial small subunit ribosomal RNA
Source: RNAcentral
GAUGAACGCUAGCGGCAGGCCUAAUACAUGCAAGUCGAACGGUAAGUAGAGUAGCAAUACUCUACCAAGAGUGACGCACGGGUGCGUAACACGUAUGCAACCUACCCUUUACAGAUGUAUAGCUCGGGGAAACUCGAAUUAACCCUUCAUAGUAUAGAUGAAUGGCAUCAUUUAUUUAUUAAAUCUGCGGAGGUAAAGGA